GAUGAACGCUGGCGGCGUGCCUAAUACAUGCAAGUCGAGCGAGCAGACGAGGAGCUUGCUCCUCUGACGUUAGCGGCGGACGGGUGAGUAACACGUGGAUAACCUACCUAUAAGACUGGGAUAACUUCGGGAAACCGGAGCUAAUACCGGAUAAUAUAUUGAACCGCAUGGUUCAAUAGUGAAAGACGGUUUUGCUGUCACUUAUAGAUGGAUCCGCGCCGCAUUAGCUAGUUGGUAAGGUAACGGCUUACCAAGGCAACGAUGCGUAGCCGACCUGAGAGGGUGAUCGGCCACACUGGAACUGAGACACGGUCCAGACUCCUACGGGAGGCAGCAGUAGGGAAUCUUCCGCAAUGGGCGAAAGCCUGACGGAGCAACGCCGCGUGAGUGAUGAAGCUCUUCGGAUCGUAAAACUCUGUUAUUAGGGAAGAACAAAUGUGUAAGUAACUAUGCACGUCUUGACGGUACCUAAUCAGAAAGCCACGGCUAACUACGUG
Molecule: ribosomal RNA, 497 nt
Filed under: uncultured bacterium
Lineage: Bacteria
Description: partial 16S ribosomal RNA
Rfam family: Bacterial small subunit ribosomal RNA
Source: RNAcentral